ACUCAAAUGAAUUGACGGGGGCCCGCACAAGCGGUGGAACAUGUGGUUUAAUUCGACGCAACGCGAAGAACCUUACCUACCCUUGACAUCCUCGGAAUCUGCCAGAGAUGGCGGAGUGCCUUCGGGAGCCGAGAGACAGGUGCUGCAUGGCUGUCGUCAGCUCGUGUCGUGAGAUGUUGGGUUAAGUCCCGUAACGAGCGCAACCCUUGUCCUUAGUUGCCAACAGGUAAAGCUGGGAACUCUAAGGAGACUGCCGGUGAUAAGCCGGAGGAAGGUGGGGAUGACGUCAAGUCCUCAUGGCCCUUACGGGUAGGGCUACACACGUGUUACAAUGGGCAGUACAAAGGGGAGCGAAGCCGCGAGGUGGAGCGAAUCUUGUAAAAGCUGUUCGUAGUCCGGAUUGGAGUCUGCAACUCGACUCCAUGAAGUUGGAAUCGCUAGUAAUCGUGGAUCAGAACGCCACGGUGAAUACGUUCCCGGGCCUUGCACACACCGCCCGU
This 500-nucleotide ribosomal RNA is filed under the name uncultured bacterium. RNAcentral's name for it is "partial 16S ribosomal RNA". It matches the Rfam family "Bacterial small subunit ribosomal RNA", at positions 899 to 1397 of the family's 1533-position model. The record is from RNAcentral.